GUUUGAUCCUGGCUCAGAUUGAACGCUGGCGGCAUGCUUUACACAUGCAAGUCGAACGGCAGCACANANANCUUCGGUUUGGUGGCGAGUGGCGAACGGGUGAGUAAUGCAUCGGAACGUGUCCUAAAGUGGGGGAUAACGCAUCGAAAGAUGCGCUAAUACCGCAUAAUCUCUGAGGAGAAAAGUGGGGGAUCGAAAGACCUCAUGCUUUUGGAGCGGCCGAUGUCUGAUUAGCUAGUUGGUAGGGUAACGGCCUACCAAGGCGACGAUCAGUAGUUGGUCUGAGAGGAUGGCCAGCCACACUGGGACUGAGACACGGCCCAGACUCCUACGGGAGGCAGCAG
RNAcentral lists this ribosomal RNA (344 nucleotides) under uncultured Nitrosomonas sp. Its description in RNAcentral is "bacterial SSU rRNA". It matches the Rfam family "Bacterial small subunit ribosomal RNA", at positions 11 to 354 of the family's 1533-position model. The record is from RNAcentral. Lineage: Bacteria; Pseudomonadati; Pseudomonadota; Betaproteobacteria; Nitrosomonadales; Nitrosomonadaceae.